This 22-nucleotide non-coding RNA is filed under the name Arabidopsis thaliana (thale cress). Lineage: Eukaryota; Viridiplantae; Streptophyta; Magnoliopsida; Brassicales; Brassicaceae. The record is from RNAcentral.
UGUAAAUAAGUUCCUACUCCAG